Molecule: long non-coding RNA, 1361 nt
Filed under: Numida meleagris (helmeted guineafowl)
Lineage: Eukaryota; Metazoa; Chordata; Aves; Galliformes; Numididae
Description: lncRNA (ENSNMEG00000002805.1)
Source: RNAcentral
UGUCGCGAUAGCUCCUCAUGUCGCGAUAGCUCCUGUCACGAUAGGACCCCAUGUCGCGAUAUGAGCUCAUAUCGUGGUGAGUUCUCAUGUCGUGAUAGCUCCCCAUGUCGCGAUAGGCCCCCAUGUCGCGAUAUAGCUCCAUGUUGCGAUAGUUCCUCGUGUCGUGAUAGCCCCCCAUGUCGCGAUAUGAGCUCAUAUCGUGAUAAGUUCUCAUGUCGUCAUAGCUAUCCAUGUCACGAUAGGCCCCCAUGUCGCGAUAUGAGCCCAUAUCGUGAUAUGUUGUUGUGUCGUGAUAGCCCCCCAUGUCGCGAUAGGCCCCCGUGUCGCGAUAUGAGCCCAUAUUGUGAUGAGUUCUCAUGUCGCAAUAGUUCCUCAUGUCGUGAUAGCCCCCCAUGUCGCGAUAGGUCUCCAUGUCACGAUAUGAGCCCAUAUCGUGAUGAGUUCUCAUGUUGUGAUGUAUGGGGCAGGGGCUCGAUGUGUGGGGCAGGGAGCAUCAUGUGUGGAUCAGGGGGUCAAUGUGUGGGGCAGGACCGUACCUGUGGGGCGGGGCUGGGCCGUGGGGCAGGGGCUCAAUGUGUGGGGCAGGGCCAUACCUGCGGGGCAGGGGGCUCAAUGUGUGGGGCAGGGCUGUACUUAUGGGGCAGGGCCGUACGUAUGGGGCAGGGCCGUACCUGUGGGGCAGGGGGUAGAUGUGUGGGGCAGGGCCGUACUUAUGGGGCAGGACCGUACUUAUGGGGCAGGGGGUAGAUGCGUGGGGCAGGGCCGUACUUAUGGUGCACGUGGGGCAGGGGCUCAAUGUGUGGGGCAGGGGUUCAAUGUGUGGGGCAGGGCCGUACCUGCAGGGCAGAGCCGUACUUAUGGGCCAGGGCCGUACUUAUGGGGCAGGGCCGUACUUGUGGGGCAGGGCCGUACCUGUGGGGCGGGGCUGGGCCGUGGGGCAGGGGCUCAAUGUGUGGGGCAGGGCCGUACUUAUGGGCCAGGGCCGUACUUAUGGGGCAGGGCCGUACCUGUGGGGCAGGGCUGGGCCGUGGGGCCAGGCGCGGGCGCUCGCAGACGCCGCAGAGCACGGCGGGGCCGCGGUUGCGGAAGGUGCAGGACGCGCAGCUCCAGCCCCACGGCGACGCCUCGUCCGGGGGGCUGCCCCAUAGAAAGCCUGACGUUACCGCGCGCGACCCAUAGCGACCCACUGCGCCCCAUAGGGACCACGCUGUGCCCCAUAGAAACCCCAUUCUGCCCCAUAGAAACCCUACUGUGCCCCAUAGGGAGCCUACUGUGCCCCAUAGAAACCCCACUCUGCCCCAUAGACAGCCCAGCGUUACCGCACGGGACCCAUAGCGACCCACUGCGCCCCAUAGAAACCC